GAUGAAGAACGCAGCGAAAUGCGAUAAGUAAUGUGAAUUGCAGAAUUCAGUGAAUCAUCGAAUCUUUGAACGCACAUUGCGCCCCCUGGUAUUCCGGGGGGCAUGCCUGUCCGAGCGUCAUUACAACCCUCAAGCUCAGCUUGGUGUUGGGCCCCGCCGCCCCGGCGGGCCCUAAAGUCAGUGGCGGUGCCGUCCGGCUCCGAGCGUAGUAAUUCUUCUCGCUCUGGAGGUCCGGUCGUGUGCUCGCCAGCAACCCCCAAUUUUUUUCAGGUUGACCUCGGAUCAGGUAGGAAUACCCGCUGAACUUAAGCAUAUCAAUAAGCGGAGGA
Molecule: unclassified non-coding RNA, 329 nt
Filed under: soil metagenome
Description: partial contains 5.8S ribosomal RNA, internal transcribed spacer 2, and large subunit ribosomal RNA
Rfam family: 5.8S ribosomal RNA (bases 1-120)
Source: RNAcentral